UUUUGCGAUCAUCGACCAGCACUAAUGCACCGGAUCCCAUCAGAACUCCGAAGUUAAGCGUGCUUGGCGAGAGUAGUACUAGGAUGGGUGACCCCUGGGAAGUCCUCGUGUUGCAUCCC
RNAcentral lists this ribosomal RNA (119 nucleotides) under Ipomoea nil (Japanese morning glory). The record is from RNAcentral. Lineage: Eukaryota; Viridiplantae; Streptophyta; Magnoliopsida; Solanales; Convolvulaceae.